UGUUGUUUAACGACCUUGACUGGCUAUACAACCUUCGCACAAUCGGCUCGUGCCCGGACGCGAUUGUUGAGCAUUAAAUAUUUUGUGCAGGUGGUCAGGAACAGGUGGAAGGCGCCAUUUUGGUAGGCGGCUAUCUUGGUUUACGUGAGCUGUUUUGGUUUGGUUUUAAUAUUUUGAUGUUUCUUUUCCAUAUGGACUCCACAACGGCUGCUUUCGUAGCCAGGUUGAUCAGAUGGGCAACCCGCUAACU
Molecule: long non-coding RNA, 250 nt
Filed under: Mytilus galloprovincialis (Mediterranean mussel)
Lineage: Eukaryota; Metazoa; Mollusca; Bivalvia; Mytilida; Mytilidae
Source: RNAcentral